This 605-nucleotide non-coding RNA is filed under the name Pongo abelii (Sumatran orangutan). Lineage: Eukaryota; Metazoa; Chordata; Mammalia; Primates; Hominidae. The record is from RNAcentral.
AAAGUACCUGGACUUCUAUGCCCAUGCUUCUAGCAGCCAGCCUCCUAAAAUACCUCUAGUUGAAGCCAAAGUUAGAAUCCUUCUAUGAAACUACAGGAUUAAAAUGGGAUGGUUACAUGACCCAGGCUUGACCAAUCAGAUCAUCCAAACCCUUUGCCACAGUGAUUGGUCCAGGGAUACAUGCAUGAGCCAGCUCAGGUGGCAUUGUAUUAUGCACCAAGAGUGAACCAGAUAGAGGAAGUUGCUCCUUAAGCUUGCAGGUCUGAAAGAACAGGGAAUUAUCUCUCUUCAAAGGCCUAAACCACACUCAUCUUGUGGAUGACACUGGAGCUGUGACAGUCUGUUCUGUCCAGGCUGGGUGUCUUUUAUUUUUACUGGAAAUAAGAUUAUCACAGCCAGACCCAGAGCCCCAACCCUGGUACACCAGUUAAGAAGGCCACAUUUACAGGAAAGAAGAAAAACUGUUCUGCCCAGUUCCUGGCUAUUACACCACUGAGGGCUUUUCUUGUCUCUAACUUUCAGAGUGCAAGUCCAUUUCACUUACAGAUUCCCUCAUCUGGCUAAGUAGUGUCCCAAAUACAAACAAUGAAAACAGCAUGGAAAAA